Molecule: long non-coding RNA, 613 nt
Organism: Nematostella vectensis (starlet sea anemone)
Lineage: Eukaryota; Metazoa; Cnidaria; Anthozoa; Actiniaria; Edwardsiidae
Exons: 2
Source: RefSeq, a predicted model, not a curated record
GUGUGCACCUUCAGUAAGGACGUUCAGCAGUCGGUCCACCACGCCAUGCGCAAACGUGUUGGUGUUUUUGACAAAAUCUUGAAUGCUGAAAAAGAUAUACUUGUUAGUGGUAUAGUACUUGGCGGUUUCAGUGCAGCGUAAAACCCAGCCAAACUAUAUUGUUAUGAACAUUGAAAAUACAAAAAAGAACGUUGAUUUAAAUUGAACGGAUUAGAUAGUUUAGACAAUUGUUUAGUUGAGUUACCACGGCUUCCUCUGUUUUGAGCACAGCCGCCCUUUCCUAUGAUUAGACUGAUAAGAUUUAUUGUAGUUUACGCAUUUCCCUUUGAGUAAGAGUUUAGGAAUGAGGCACGUCCUACUUUAGGACACGUCCCACCUACCUAUAAAUUAUAGUACCUAUUUAGCAAUCUUUAAGAGUUGAGCAGAGAAACCGAAGAGAGAAGAGUUGAGUUGAGAGCCAGAGAAGCAGAGUUAGAGAAGUCAGAGUGGAGUUUGAAGAGUUACAAGCUUACUUGGAGUUGUAUUUCUUUAAGCCCCGGAGACGAGAUCAGACUUAUCACCGCAUGUGUUCGAUAGUUGGACGAGUUGAUUGUAAUAAACGCUGUUAAAUCAA